This is a long non-coding RNA of Pan troglodytes (chimpanzee), 16601 nucleotides long. RefSeq lists it as uncharacterized. The transcript has 2 exons. The record is from RefSeq and is a predicted model, not a curated record. NCBI's taxonomy places the organism in Eukaryota, Metazoa, Chordata, Mammalia, Primates, Hominidae.
GCUCACUGCAACCUCUGCCUCCCGGGUUCAAGCCAUUCUCCUGCCUCAGCCUCCUGAGUAGCUGGGAUUACAGGCACACACCAAUACGCCCAGCUAAUUUUUGUAUUUUUGUAGAGAUGGGGUUUCACCAUGUUGGCCAGGCUGGUCUCAAACUCCUGACCUCAGGUGAUCCGCCCGCCUCAGCCUCCCAAAGUGCUGGGAUUACAGGCAUGAGCCACCGUGCCCGGCCAAGCCCCUCUUUAGUUUCUGUGGGGACCCCUCAUUCAGCCACAGACUGGCCCCUUCGAUGGCCACUUCAUUCUUCCAUGUGCGUUUUUCCUUGUUCUCAAGUUGUCUCCUCAGCUUGAGUGUGAAAAACAUUUCAUACUUUUUAGUGUCAUCCUUAGGAUAAGUCUCAUAUCUGUGCACUUUCAUAUUGAUCAAAAAAAUCACAAGAGGAUAACAAUGGACAACUCUAAAACCUCCUCUUUCUCUAUUUCAUGUCAGACAACCCCAGCUCCCUUAGCUUUGCUUCCAGCUCCUUUUUCCUGAUGCUUUAAUCAUUGCUGUUCCUCUCUUAAUGUGCAUCAUGCGCACUAUAGUUCUCUAAAAUCAGGCCACUUUAAGCCAUCCACAGGAUUUUAUGGAAUACUAAUCAGUGUCAUGUUCCCGUCAACAUGCGAUCAGAUUUUGAGAGCAGUGAACAGGGUGUCCUCUGAGGGCCUGGGGUAAUACCCCCAUUCUGAAUCACAGAGGCCAGCCCCGUGGGGUCAGAGGAUUGGCCUGGCUAGCCUUGUGGAGCCUGUGUUCUCCAAACAGACAUUUAAUUACUGUCCCCAAUGAGUACCCUGAUCACAAUACUUAUUGCUCCAAUGGGGUCUGUGGGUGGGGAUUGCAAAGGGGAAGGUUGCCCUGCUUAGCUCAAGGGGAGCAUCUCCUGAGAAAGCUGAUUCCGACAGAAGUGCAGUCAACUCAGCAAGCCUCUUCCUUCUGUCCUGUUCCUAAAACCAUCUGCUCAUUGCAGGAAGCAACUCCAUUCCAUCGGCCAUACUGAUGGCAUUAGGUUCUCCUAAAACAUCUGGGUUUUCCUUGUGGGAGAAAAUCCUGCAGUGAAUUUAGAUGUUGGUGAUCCUCUAAGCGAGGACCUCAUUGAGUCUAGGAGGGGAAAUUAUAAGUGUCAAAUUACAAGUGUGCAAAUUAUACAAGUGCACCCCUGCUUGGCCUUGCAGGGCACCACCGGCCAGCUCCCCCCUCUCCAAUUUUUCUUCUGUUGCCGUGAUGGUGAAUGUUAGUUGUCAACUUGAUUGGAUGGAAGGAUGCCUAGAUAGCUGGUAAAGUGUGAUUUCUGGGUGUGUCUGUGAGGGUGCUGCCAGAGGAGACUGACGUUUGAGUCAGUGGACUGGGAGAGGAAGACCCAUCCUCAGUGUGGGUGGGCACCAUCCCAUCGGCUGCCAGUGCAGGCAGAACAAAGCAGGCAGAAGAAGGUAAGAUAAGCUUACUCGCUGGUUCUUCUGGCUUCUUGCUUUAUCCUGUGCUGGAUGCUUCUUUCAGCUUCUCCUGCCCUUGGACAUCAGACUCCCGGUUCCUCCGCCUUUGGACUCUGGCACUUAUGCCAGUGGUUUGCCGGGGGCUCUCCAGCCUUUGGCCACAGUCUGAAGGCUGCAUUGUCGGCUUCCCUGGUUUUGAGGCUUUUGGACUUGGACUGAGCCACUACCGGCUUCUCUCUUCCCGAGCUUGCAGAUGGCCUAUGGUGGGACUUCACCUCGUGAGCAUGUGAGACAAUUCUCCCUAAUAAGCUCCGUUUCAUAUACACAUACAUCCCACAGAUCUGUCCCUCUGGAGAUUCCUGACCAAUACGGUUGCCCACCCUUCUUUGUCCCUUCUUUGCCACGUUCACUUCUACGUGGCCUCACAGAACCCACGUGGCCUUGCCUUUCUGGAAUCGCGGUCUCCUCCACGUGGAGAUGCGUCACCUGUAGCUGAUGGAUAACCACUUGGAAAUGCAGCUGCCCCGGACGGGAAGGGGUUGUGCAUUUCUCAUAUUGUUCUUGGCUAGACCUGGAGAAAUUUUGCUUCCUGGACAACUUAGUCAUGUUUUAUGAAGAUCAUUUGUCAGUGGCUAGAAAAUUGGACAUGUAUGAUAUAUGGCUGGGGAGGACUAAUGGGCUCUUCCUUCAACACUCUGUCAAAGUCGGGCCAGUGCCCAUGGUGGAACGUGCUUUAGUAAGAUGAGAGAAGGUGUUUUCAUGAUUAACAAGGCAUGACAUUCGUAUUUCAAAGAUCCCAUGACAUAUCAAAACAGUCUGCUACCGUGUAUUUGUUUGGUGGCAUGGACAUGGGACACAUGGUAUUUUCUCAGGGACCCUUCGGCUCUGGACCUGUGCUGUGCAGGCAUCUGCCUGUACACACUGCCCCUCUUAACCUGAGCAUAACAAACACUCAAUGUAAGAUCAGGUUUGAGGCUGGGAGUGCUGGCACACCUCUGUGUGUGUGCUUACAUAACAAACACUCAAUGUAAGAUCAGGUUUGAGGCUGGGACUGGUGGCACACCUCUGUGUGUGUGCUUACAUAACAAACACUCAGUGUAAGAUCAGGUUUGAGGCUGGGAGUGGUGGCACACCUCUGUGUGUGUGCUUACAUAACAAACACUCAGUGUAAGAUCAGGUUUGAGGCUGGGAGUGGUGGCACACCUCUGUGUGUGUGCUUACAUAACAAACACUCAGUGUAAGAUCAGGUUUGAGGCUGGGAGUGGUGGCACUCCUCUGUGUGUGUGCUUACAUAACAAACACUCAGUGUAAGAUCAGGUUUGAGGCUGGGAGUGGUGGCACACCUCUGUGUGUGUGCUUACAUAACAAACACUCAGUGUAAGAUCAGGUUUGAGGCUGGGAGUGGUGGCACACCACUGUGUGUGUGCUUACAUAACAAACACUCAGUGUAAGAUCAGGUUUGAGGCUGGGACUGGUGGCACACCUCUGUGUGUGUGCUUACAUAACAAACAGUGUAAGAUCAGGUUUGAGGCUGGGACUGGUGGCACACCUCUGUGUGUGUGCUUACAUAACAAACACUCAGUGUAAGAUUAGGUUUGAGGCUGGGACUGGUGGCACACGCCUGCGGUCCCAGCUACUCCAGAGGCUGAGGCGGGAGGAUGCUUAAGCUCAGGAGGUCAAGGCUGCACUGAGCCAUGAUCGCACCACUGCACUCCAGCCCGGGUGAUAGAGUGAGACUCUGUCUAAAAAACAAAACCAAAAAAACGUAAGAUCGAAUUUGACUCCACCGUUUGUCCCUCUGACACAUAAUCUAAGAUGUCAGAGGUAUUUGUGUCAAAGAAGGCAAGUGGGAGAGACUGGGCCUGAGGUGAUGCUGUGUUCCUUCUUUGAUGACAUCAUUAAUGAGGAGAGGUGAGGGUACUUCAUAGAGCGCAGAAGAAACUCAAGGACCAGCUCUCUCGGGCUGCCCCUGUAAUAUGGCCCACUGAGGGCAGGUUCCUGGCUGCCCUUGGAACAGUGCUGCGGUCAUCAGAUGGUAUGAAAGACAAAUGCCUUUGUGCCCUCAAAGGCAACCACUAUAUAUGGGAGGUGCUGUCCCCCCUUCUGCCACUCAUCAGCUCAUGGUAAACAGAGGCCACUUAGGCACCACUCAAGGCAUUGACCAGUCUAAGUCCUAAUUAUAGGGUCCUACUUAUAGCCAUUAUGAACCUCAAAGCCAAACAACGAUGAAUUUUGUCAAAGGACUCCUCCUGGCUUCAGUUGAACAGAAUCAUCAGACUAGGAAGCCAUUAAUGACCUUCGUGAGUUUCCAGAUCUUCAUUCUCAUGGCUCUAAUCAGAGAUUUGGUCUGAGGUGAUAGUGUUAUAGGGCCCUGAUGCAAAAAGCCCAGUGCAGAUUGGCUCACCUGCUGCUGCAUCUUGAUUGUCCAUGGGUGGGGUCUACUCCUGAGGUCUUGGGAUUGAAAAAGUUCACACGGACUGUAAAUCCUGCCAUUGCUACCGAUGACACUUGUACUUGUUGCGGUGUGUCCAUUGUAGUGGGAAGAGCUCUGCUCUUAGAGUGUUAUACAGCCUAUAGGGUUUGGAUUCUUCACAUUUGGUUGGUUGACUUUGAGUCUCAGCACUUUCAAUUGUAAGGUGGGGACAGUACAAACUUACAGAAGUUAUUGUGAAUACACAACCAUCCAAGUAAUUACACCUGCAGAGCUGACUAGUUUACUUUCUUGCUUGCUGUCUGGUAAAACUCUUGCCAAUCAUAGACAAACGAUCAAUGCAUAAGGUAACCUCAUUUGAGAGUUCAAGUUCUGAACAGAAGAAAAGGAUCUCAUUCCUGUUAUGAACAGCUUAGUUAUAAAGUCAAAUGUAAAAUCAAAUAUGUGUUUCUGUGGCAAAUGGUUAAAUUCUUACCUUUUACAAAACAUUCAAUAGUCACAAGGUCUUUACACACUCACUGCUUAUCCAUAUUUAUAUAUGGUGUGCCUGUUAGGUAAGACAUACACACUUUGGUUAGUUACUUGAAUAGAUCAUAAAAUUAAGUCUAGGACUAUGUUUUCUGCUUUAUUUAAAUUUUCUCAUCCAAGGAAAAAUUUCAUAAAGAGUGGUUGAAUGAAUGAAUGGACAUUUACUGUCUUGAAUAAAACCUUUUUAUAUAAUUUAGCUUGUUUUGCAAAAGAAUAAAACACUAGCUUCAAACUCUUUAUUUUUCAUUGAUCUUUAGGAAUCAGGGUCCCUCUUUUGAAUACACCCCUUGCUCAAGGAAAGGAACCAUUUAUGUUCUGGCCUUGAUUACUGCACAAUGGCUUUUACUACAUUUGAUUUGCAGCAAUUCAUUUGUGAUUAAAUUUUCUAAUUCUCCCAGAAAGUCAUUGAACAAGCAAACAGUUUACUUUCCCCAAUAAAACAAAGCCUAAAGUAUUUGGUCUUUAAUAAAUGUUCAAAAAUUAUUUUCUCAGUGUGUGUUCGAGAUAUAAAUAUCCCUUCAUCUCAACCCUCUUUUGAAUAUUUGACCAAUCUACCUUUAUAGAGUAGUUGUUUCUCCUUAUGUCAUUUCUGAUCUUUCUUGAAUUCUUCUUUGCUUAGUUUUUAAUCGAGCCAAAUGUUUGUUUAAUCAGAUACCUCAAUUAGUCAAGACCUGUCUCUUUUAUCAGAAGGUGAAUUUAGAGAACAAUUCUAAAACAUAGGGUAAUACAAAUUUUUUAAAAGAAAACCAAAUUCUAAGCUCAGCUUGGUCCCAGGGCAAAUUCACUCCCCAUUCUUAAUUAUUCUUCUCCAUUUCUGGUCACGGGAGGGGCACCCCCAAAAUGCUGACCCUAGGACUCCCCAAGAUCCUCCAGCAUCCAAAAGUCCUCUCUUCUCCAGUCUUUACUUUCUAUGGGAACAGGUUGAAACCCCUGGGAAUGAAUAUAUUCUCAACUAAAAAUACAAAUUAAAAGAAUUUCUUGCUUAGACUAUCAGAAACUUGAUCUAGUGCACAUAUUUCCCAAGCAUUUCAUUUACUAGAUCUGAUUAAGACACUCUGUUAUUGUAUCAUUUAAAUUUUUAAAUUUUAUUAGUUAAAUUUUAAAUACAAGUUUUAAAGGAUGGUUACAAAUUAGUAACUCAAAAUAAUUGAGUGGAAAGAUCAAGGUACAAGACACUCUGCCUUUACCUUCAAAGUCUGAGCAAAUAUGAUUUUAUAUCUUUUUAAUCAGAGAUUCUUUUAAAGACCAAGUUACUGCAGUCCUGUCUUGUUCUUCUCCUAUUUUAUAUUGAUGUGCUCAGUACCUUGGUGUCUUUUUCUGUCUUUUAGGGGGAAGGGAAUCCACGUUUUGGACUAGAGUAGCACAGAUGCCAUUCUUACCUCACUGUAGGUUUCUUUAAAGAAUGUUUAGUCCUGACAAUGCGAUGCAGAUUUCUUUCUCUCCCCACUCUAUCUUUUGCAGAGCUUUAUCCUUUUUUCAUUGUUCAGCAUAACUGGGAACCUGCCAGCUCGCCACAAUGAAACAUAAUGAUUUUUGCAAAGUGUGUGUCAAAUGUCCUGAGCUUAGAAGAGAUUCAUCGUAGAGACUGCUGCUUAAUGAGUGUAAAUUAACUGAUCAUUUGCUAAAUCUGAUGUGCCCAGUGGUGUGGACGGGAGAAUGCUGGAUAGGAUGUAGGAGAUGCAGGUGAGCAGACGGGUAGCAGAGACACAUACCGUGUUUCUGAGCGAGGACUGUAGCAUGGCCAGAAGGCUGUUCUGAUGUAGAGAGGGAUUUUCCGCUCACGGUAGGACCCAGUACCAUGAGACUGAGGACUGAAACACAAGGUUAACACAGAUCUCCCGAACAGUCCGCUUUAGGGCUGGAGCCUGCUGGGAUCAGUCCUCUUGAGAAGAACAACAAUCUGGUUGAGAUUGAACUUGCCAAAGACAAUGAGACUAAACAAGAGACGCCUGCUGGUAAACAUCAGGGCUGUUGUGUGGAAGCUGAGGGAGGAAGAAGACACAAAAGCUGUGCAUGAUGAUAAGGCUAGUGGGUCUAGUGUUACCAGCACCGCAGAUGUACAGCUCCUCCUAGAGGCAGGGCACAUUCAGAAUAAGCAACAGGGAGCUGCAUGUCAUGUAGUCAAGCAACUGUAUAUUUCUUCUUCAUUCAUUUCUGGGACAUACAUAUGAAAUAUCUUCAGCUUCAUAUCUGAGAUGGCAGGAACAUGACAACAUAUUAGCUUUUAGGUAGACACCCGUAGGUCUUAGGAUGUGGUGGAAAAUUGGGUGUCAUUUUUUCCAGAUAAUCACUGGCAUUUUUAUAAAACAUGAAGCCCUUCCUAAAGUCUGUGCUUCCCAGAUAGUAGUGAGGAGAAAUAGGCUUGUGGAGACCAUAAGGGUUUAUUUUGGAGUGGGUCUUGUGAAUUUGACAGUUUAAUAGUCACGUGGACGCACAGUGUUGUUUGCAGGAGGGGCCAUGAACCCCUGCCCUGAAUGAAAGGGAAAUACUUAUGUCCAUGGUAACCAGGGCCGGUGGCAGCCAGGAAGCCAAGACCUGGCCUCCGCUGCCACUGCUCAUACAAACCAACUAAACAUGUGUACAUCACAUAUGGGAUAUAGGAGAAGCACAUCUGAAGGGCUAUGGCAGAAGUGGAAAGAAGGCAAAACUCUUCCACACAGGCAACCCGUGCUUUCCAGACAAAUCUCACAACAUCAAACUGCAAGUAUUCAUGCCACCCCCUACCCCUGCCAACUAGAACUGGCUGUCUGUGUCAGGUCGUCAUCUUAUCUUAGAACACAUCCAUUGAUACAUACACUGUUUCUUCUUCCCUAUUACCUCUGAUUCUGCUUCUCUAAAAUAAAAGCUGACCGACUGGUUGGAAUAAUAAUACAUAUACCACCUGGCAUUUUACAGUUUUACAUCAUCUCAGGUGAUACAACCAGGCUAUGAUGCAGUCAUGUCACCAUACUCUUUACCAGAUGAGAUGCAAACUCAGAAAUAUUAGGAAAUGUAGCUGUGAUGGAUUGGGCUAUAAUCAACUUGUGAUGUGGGAGUUUCUCAGAAUCUCUUUCCCUAUAUACAUAUGGUUCCGAGCUAGAGCUGGCCACAGUGAAGCCAUGAGACCUGGGAGGUGAAUGAAGGAGGGGCCGUUAUGCUCUGGAGGUUUUCAUCGUGUAACUGAACACAGGUCCGGAUGCUCACCGCCUGCAGAAUCCAGUUAACAAGAAUGAGUUCUGGUAGAAAGAAAGUGACUUUAUUCACUAAAACUAAUAAAGAACAAGUGGCCGGGUUCCCAUCCAAAGCAACCACUUCAGUUUGGCAGAGAGGAAGACAGGGGUUUAAAAAAGGAGAACUUGAUGUGAAAAGCUUGCAAGAAUUGUGCUGAGUACAACGUCUGUGUACCUUGUUCUGGUGGCUAUCUUGGGUCCCAGUUUACCUGGAUCUCGGGCUGGUGUCAUCUCAACAAUGGUGAGGCUGUUGACUCGCCACCUUGAAGUCAUCUCUGGAACUUUGCAGGUGGGUCUCCAGACUUGGUUCAUCUGUCUCAAGAUUACCCCCAGGAGCUUCUAAAAAGGGACAUAAUUAGAUGCUAGCAUACAGGUAGAUGAAUGUGAAGGGAGUAUAGAUGGUGAGAAAGGGAGGGAUGUGGAGUUCAUUUUAAGACAAAGAGGGAAAGGCUUCUGCAGUUUGCUUCAAGGUUAUAUCUUGAAACGCACGAGAAAUAAGUAAAAAGUUUAAAAUUCAUUUUGCAGUUAAACUGCCCAGUUACAAUUGGUCAGAAGUGGUGAGAGACACAGUGGAGCUGACACAGGGUGCAAGUUUGUCUUCACUCUUCCUUACCCCUGUCUUUAUUUCCCGAUUUCCAGCCCUGCUGACUUGCAGUGAGUCCAGGGCCACCAUGCGAUGCUGCACCCCACUCGACAGACCUUUACUUCCAUAGCACCUCACACCAUUCCUGUAAAAGGUUGUUACUGUAUAAUAUUCCAAAUAUUGAGAGUUUCACUCUCAAGUUUGAACUCUGACUGACACAUUACCUGUGGUCUCCAGGUGGGAGGUGAUGUGUUUUUUACACUUUAUAAUUUUUUUUUAUUUUUAUCACUCACUAUACUUGACUGUGUUAUGAUUUCUAUAUUCGUCAUUCUUCCUGCAUCAUUUUCUCUCUCUCUUUUUUUUUUUUUUCUGAGACAGAGUCUCGCUCUGUCACCCAGGCUGGAGUGCCGUGGUGCGAUCUCAGCUCACUGCAAGCUCCCCAUCAUGGGUUCACGCCAUUCUCCCGCUUCAGCCUCCUGAGUAGCUGGGAAUACAGGUGUCUGCCACCAUGCCCAGCUAAUUUUUUGUAUUUUUAGUAGAGACGGGGUUUCACCAUGUUAGCCAGGAUGGUCUUGAUCUCCUGACCUCGUGAUCCGCCCGCCUCAGCCUCCCAAAGUGCUGGGAUUACAGGCUUGAGCCACCGCGCCCGGCCAUCUAUGUUCAUUUUCAAAGGGGUCUUCCUUAAUGAUAGUGCCCUUGAACCAAAAAUUAAAGAGUUGAUUAAAGUAGUAGAAAAUGGUCAUCUAUACAAGUUUCAUGAUUUAUAAGAACUAUGGAAAUUGCUCCUUAGAAAAUAGCUUUCUAAACAUGAAAAUACACUUGAUUAGAAACAGUACACAUGAGGAACUCUGGUUUCAUGCAAAGUUGAAGGAAAUUCUUGUGAAAUUAAAAAUGCACCCAGAACAGUUGAUGAAGUCUAGUCCAACGAAAGGGUUUUCAACUCUGUUUGAUUUCCAUCUUGUCAAAGAAUCAACUUUUGGUUUUGGUGAAUGAAAUGGUUUGGCUGUUUCCCCACCCAGAUCUCACUUUGAAUUGUAAUAAUCCCCACAGGUCAAGGGCAGGACCAGGUGGAGACAAUUGAAUCCUGGGGCUGGUUUCCCCCAUGCUGUUCUUGUGACAAUGAGUUCUCAGGAGAUCUGAUGGUUUUCUAAGGGGCUUUCCCCUUUGCUCGACUCUCAUUCCCUCUCCUGCUGCUCUGUGAAGGGGCGCCUUCCUCCAUAACUGUAAGUUUCCUGAGUCCCUCCCAGCCAUGUGGAACUGUGAGUCUGUUAAACCCGUUUUCUUUAUAAAUUAACCAGUCUCAGGUAUUUCUUCAUAGCAGCAUGAGAACGGACUAAUCCGGUAAUAUUCUCCACUGUUUUUCUGUUCUCUAUGUUAUUUAGUUCUGCUCUAUUAUUUAUUGUUUCCUUCCUUCUGCUUGCUUUGGGUUUAGCUUGCUCUUCUUUUGCUAGUUUCGUAAGGCAGAGUGUAGUUUGUGGAUUCGAGAUCUUUCUUCUUUCUUAAUAUAAAUGUUUAUGGCUAUAAUUUUCCUUCCAAUUACUCUUUUUAUUGCAUUCCCUAAGUUCUGCUAUGUUGUGUGGUAUUUUUGUUUUUACUCAGCUCAAAGUAUUUUUGUGUUUCCCUUGUGGUUUCCUCCUUAAUACUUUGGUAAUUUAUCAGGGUGUUUAAUUUCCAAAUAUUCUUGUGUAUUUUCCAGUUUUCCAUCUGUUAUUGAUUUCUAAAUUCAUUCUGUUGUGAUCAGAAAAGACACUUUGUGUGAGUUGAUUUCAACCUUUUAAAAAUUAUGAAGACUUGUUUUGUGACCUCACAUACAGUCUAUUUUAGAGAAUGUUUCAGGUGCAUUGGGGGAACAUGUGUAUUCUGCUGGGCUUGGCGGAGUCUAAUAAUCCCUAAUAUACCUCGCUUCUAAUGUAGGUGUUCCCGCCAGAGCAUGCCAGUGUCACGUCAACAAUAACAAACAAAAAUUCAUUGUUUUCUUUUUCUAAAGCCAUAUUGUAGAUUCCAAGCUCAACUAUAAUAUAUAUUAUUUUAGCUAUCUAUUUAAAGUGUCACAUCAUCCUAGGGACCUUUCAACGGACUGACUACAUUUCUCACAAUUAUAGUAAUUACUGAAAAUAAACACAUGAGACUAUUCUCUUCAACUAAAAUAUUAUCUUAUUUUACAUUUAGUACAAUUGAGAAAUUUGCAUGUAAAGCUAAGGAAGGACACAGCUUUAGAAACAAUGGACUCAUUUCUCUCCAGACCUAUGUGAAAGUUGGUUUGACAGUAAUUACCUUAUGGGAGCCCAGAGGUAUAAAAUAAGGGUGAGGAAUGAUUGUUCCCAUCACAGACGGAUCACCACAUCAUCCCUUGUGCAUUUGCAUUUCGUGUACUGAUCAGAGGUGGCAUGGUGUGGAGGGGCGGCAGUGGUGAUGUGGAAAUGUAAAGAAUUUCGGGUACUGAGGAUCCAGUUAAAAAUCACACUGGAAAGAGAACCAAAUAUAGUCAAGGAAAGAAGAAGUGGCCUACAAACCUGUGAUAUGAUCUUGAAAUGACUUAUUUUAACAAACAUACCUCCCAUCUAUUAUAUAAAAUAAACCUAAGUUACUAGAAAGAGAUGGGGGUUAAAUUCCCUAUCACUUACUAGCUGAGUGACUUUGAGCCUGUUUCCUAGUCUCUGUGAGCUUGUGUUUCUUCAUGUGGGUAAUAGAAGUCAUAAUAAUACUCACUUGAGCAAUUUGCUGUAAUAAUUGGCAACAGUAUCUUGAAGCACAGAUUAUAAUGUCCAGUAUGUAAUAGCCCUCUUGUAUGUAGCUGUAUUCUUACUACUGUCCAUAGUUCUUUAGGUUAUUAGACUGACUUAUGAACUUUGAGUGCUGGUCAUCAGACCUACUUCACAUGGAGCCUCGAGACCCCUCCCUCGAAUUAUCAGACCCUUCCCCCUCUGGCCAUCAUCCUCCUCCCUCUGAUCAUCACUGUGCUCCCUUUGACCAUCACCCUCUUCCCUCUGGCGUCAGACUCUCCUCCCUCUGCCCAUCCUCCUCCUCCCUCUGACCAUCAGGCCCGCCUUACUUCCUCAUACCAGCAGCCGUGGAGUGGGUCUUCAACAAGCAGCCAACAGCAGCCAGGGACAGAUCCUCAGGCACUGUUUUUCUGUCCGAAAAAUCAGAAUUGUAUCAAAGGGUCGGACACCUGGACUGGCAAGACACAUUGGGGUUAUUUAUAACGGGAAAAUGAGGUCUCCAGGGAAACAAACCAUAAUAAAGAAUAUGAACUCCCGCAGACCGAAUUGCCUUCAACGAUCCUCAAAGACUUUUGUGUUUGACCAAUAUCAAUUAAUUACAUCAGUAAAUAACUGCCUGCGCCUUGUACUUCUGUCCUCCCAAGAUCCGGAAUGACUUCUGCUUUCAAAAUGAAUUUCAGGGAUUUCUUUGAAGCAGUCUUGUAAAGUUGUUAUAUUUAGUUUAAAUUCAAUUAAAGCUCACUCUGAAAGCUCUUUCUGAAGCAUUUGAUCCACAUUUACAUGAAGGUAUUUGCUCUUAAAAUUGUUAGGGGUAUAGCUCAUUUCUAGUAAUAAUAAGUGGUAUUUCAUAAACCUGGAUACAUGAUCAUUUACUUCCUGAUAGCUUGCUUCUCCCAGAUCUAAUUCUAUUCUUCCUUGAGGGCUGUUGGUGCCAGCGCCAGGGCUGCAAACAUCAGGGUUAGACUGGAGAGUGACCCGUGUGCUCCUUCACCCCCGGGUGGGGCCUCUGUGCUUAUUAGUAGGCUAGCACCAGGUGCAGGAGACAGAUGUGCCACCUGCUCACAGGGCUUACCUGGGACAAAUGUGCCGCUCGCUCACGGGGCUUACCUGGGGACAGUUGUGCUGCCCGCUCGUGGGGCUUACCUGGGGACACUCACUAUGAUUACCUGGGACAGAUGUGCCGCCCGCUCACUAUGAUUACAUGGGACAGACAUGCUGCCCAUGCACGGGGCUUACCUGGGACAGACGUGCCACCCACUCACUAUGAUUACCUGGGACAGACAUGCUGCCCACUCACUAUGAUUACAUGGGGACAGACAUGCCGCCCACGCACGGGGCUUACCUGGGAUAGAUGUGCCACCCACUCACUAUGAUUACCUGGGGACAGAUGUGCUGUCUGCUCACAGGGCUUACCUGGGAAUGAAGUUCCACUCCUCCACUUGCUUAGUUCUUGUUUAUUUGUCUCUCCCACCAUUUCAAGUCUUUGCUGUCAUCAUGAAGAAAUAUGCAGGGUGCUGGCUGUGCAGUGAUGAGCUGGGAGAAAAUGAUCUUUGACAGAGCUGGUAGUUAAGGAAGAAUCCCUUGGCUGAAGCAGAGUGUAAGGGAUGAGAAGCCAAAUGGGUGGAGAGUGGGAGCAGGGGAGGAGGGUGAGAGCAUGAGAGGGACACUGCAUCUCCAGAGGCUGGAGAGGGGCAGGGGUGCAGCUUGUCAUGGGACAUGUAAGAGGGCCAGGGACUGAUGCAGAGAGGGACAGGAAGCAGCCUGCACCGGCACUGUGGGAGCAGGCAGAUGGGAACGUGGACAGGGAGUUAGUGUUUUCUCCUAAAUGCCAUGGAAGACAUUGAUGUGUUUUAAACAGUGCAGAUAGAAAGCAGUAAAUGGUUUCAAAAAUAUCCCAAACAAUACAAUAUAUAGAAUUUCCUGAUGGAUUUGACUUGCAAACAGAGUGGAAGAAAGAAGUAUGAUGGCAUCUAUGCUUUGUGCUUUUUGAGCAAUUGGUUGAAUAUGGACGCCAUUUUCUGUCACUGAGAAGACUCAGGGAAGGGCGGGAGGAUGGGGGUAAGUGUGCAGGGCCUGUGAAGCUGGGAGAUCCGUGAGAUGCCCAAGUGGCAACGUCAGCUCUGAGGAAAUGACACUCAGAGAAAUGGCCUGGACUCGAAAUAAAAUGUGGGAGUAGUUAGCACACAGAUUAUGUUCCGAACCUGGAAAUGAAUGACCACACCUAGGAAGAAAAAGCAGGAAAAGAGAGGAGAGGGCCCUUAGAGAUCCCAACAGAGGGGGCUGAGGUGUGUGUGUGUGGUGAGUUGGAGGACAGCCAGAAGAAAAGAUGACGUUCCAACAGCUGAGAUGCAGUCAGGGCGCAGCCCAUUGGUGUGCAGCGUGGAGGUCUUUGGAGACAUCACUAGGAACCGUUUACUAAAAUGUCACUAGGAGCAGUGCCUGUAGAAACCAGAUCAGGGCACACGAAAGGGUAAAUGGGAGAUGAGGGAGACAUGACACUCCGCUGUGUGGACUCAGAAACCUUUCUGCAAAGAGAAGCCAGGAACACAGCAGGAUGCAAACUAAGACGUGAAAACUCAUUCUUCGAAGUCCUUUCAGACUCCUACCUGCUUCUGUUUAUAUACCGCCUACAUUUCUGAAAAUCCUAGUGUAAAACAAACAUGUAUAUAUUAAAUUAUGUUCCUUUUACUUUUAUUAAAUAAAAAGUAGUCGCAUUAGAGAAGAGCAAAGCUAAGAAACAUAAUGAAAUGAUGUGUAAGGAUCCUAACAUGACCACUAAAGAGCAAUGCAUCUGAGUGUGAACGCAUCAAACGCUUCCAGGCCUGGCAGUCAAUCCACGUGCCAUGGCCUCUUACAAGGAAGUCAUCGUUCUAACACCCCAUCGGUAGGGCACAGGCUUUGGUUAUUUUAUCAGUGCACAAAAAUGAAUUCACACUGUUACUGGCUUUCUUCUGCUGGUGCACAUUCGGUGUGAUGGCUCCUUGGGCUUACGGAUGACCCCUGUGGCUAGAGGCGAGGGUGAAGAUAAUGGGUUCACAUUGCACAGAUUAAAGCAGAGACUCUAUUGUGUUCAGAAGAACCUAGAGUUAAUGGGCCACAAACAGAUCAUCUUCUGGCCUCCCUAGCAGAGCCAUCGGUUGCCUCCUGACACAGUCCAUUUCCACUUUGACACAAGUGUUUGCCAGCUUUGUGGUACCUGAUUAUUAGGGUCCUCUUAGUUCUGUGAUUGCUCCAGGAAUUCAGUGAAAAUUGUCAUCUGGAAGAACCAAAUUGCAGUUCUUAACUGGGUAGAAUUCAGGCUCUUCAAUUCUUGAUUCCAUCCAUUACGUGCUCACUGUAAGAAGUGGUACCUCCUUGGGAUACUGAAUCAGAAAGAUAUUAGAGAAAGGGCUAUUCAUGGUGUAGGGAUCUUUGGACUUGAAGGUGAAAUUUCAAACAUCUUCAAUAUUCAUUUCUGGGAGAGGUAGGAAAACUCUAGAAAUGGUCCACUUAUAAUCAUAUAUGUGAAUAGAACUUAGCAUUUUGGUUGGCUGGUUGGUUAAAUGUGUGAUUGUGAAAUAGGGCUAUCAUGAGUUGACAUAAGGGGAAAUCGACCUUUAAGUAGGGUGACCAUAUAAUUUUUUAUCCAAAUGGGGUCAUGAGAGAGGGAAGAGUGGUGCUAUUAACAUUCAUAUCGAGACAGAUGAAAACAUUCACGUCGAGACAGGGAAACCUGGAUGUGCUGUCAUCUUAUGAGGGCUUGUCAUUUGCUAGGAACAAUUUGGUGGUUGUUUUUCCUUACACAACAAGGAGAGACCAGGAGCCUGCCCUCUUGGUAGAUCAGCUAAACAUGUCCACAGGAUUUUGCUUCCAAGAUGAACAUGGGUGUAGCUUUCAGGAGUGUCCAUCGAGCAUCACAAUUCGAAACCUGAAUUUUCAGAGGCUUCUCUGUCUUGUCACCUUCCUUUGCUGCAUGCUUCAGUCUCUGCUUGAAUUUGCACCUGGAAAUGGGGUUGAAAUACAUUUGGUGCAGAACGAUAGCAUUUCAAACCUGUCUAAACAGUUUGCAGACAUUAAAAAGGAUUUGUAUGCCAAGAAGGAGGCCCCUAGCUCGUGAGGCCAGCCCCAGUUUGCCUUCCGAAUAUACUCAUUUUGCUGCCGUUAAAGACUUUCUGUGUAAUUUGAGUCAAAAUAUCCCUAUUUUCUAGUUAUACCGAUUUUCUUCACUUCUAAACCCCAAGCCACCAUAACACUUUUUUCAAAGUCUCUUUUGCUCUUCCCACCCCUUCCAGCUCCUUGGGGGAUUUCAAGAUGGGAUUGUGGAGCAUAGUUAAAUCCAUCGUAAUUACAUUCAGUCAGCUGUAUCCCCUCUUCUUCUUUGCCUUUGGGAUUUCACUACUUUAAACAAGUAUUCUCUGUUGCUGAACAAUUAAACAUAACGCUAACCUUGCAGUCAGAUUAGCCAUAAUGGAUAUGGUGUGGGCAUUUGAUACUAAGUUAUGUCAUUUUAAGCAAUUAAAUUAAUAUCUCAAAGUCAAAAAGCUAAUUCCAAUGAUUGCUGUAGACAUUUUAAGAAAAUAUUUUCCAAGAGAAAAGGGAUAUCAAAAUAUAACCAUUUUUCUUUUGCCAAGAAUAGAUUGCAUUUGUUUUAGGUACAGAUAAGAGGCAUUUUAGGUAUAGAUUAAAAUCUGUGGUGAGGAAAUGUAGUCAAGAAAAGGGCUUUACUUGCGCUGGAGAAGACUUCCCCUCAUGCACGGCCCUCACUAACUUGGAGCUGAGCUGCUUGCUGUACACGAGCUGUGCACCCAAGUGAGCCUCUGUAGUCCAGCCCAGGACUGCUAUCUGCUGUUGCCUCCGGCUUUCUGGUCAUGCUGGGGGAGUUGGGGGAAACAGGAGCAUCACACACACACACACACACACACACACACACACACACACACACACACGCACGCACACACAGCUCUUUCUGAGGAUGGGAAGGAAUCAUUAUUUCCAAUGGCGUUGUUUCCCAAUGUUGGCCAGACUGUGAUCUGUUUCUGUCCAAGAACGAAGACAGCGUUCCCUUUCUGAAGCUGUUCUCAGCUGUUCCCUCAUUUCACAAGCUGCUUUCCAGCUCUGAUGUCUGUGGUUGCUGUAGCAGCAGGCUAAGCCACACCUGACCCACAGAAGGACAUGAGGUUGGUUCUACCUCACAGAGAGAAGCUGAAAUCUUUGUUCCUAUUAACACAAAGAUAAGGGGCUCGGAAGUGUGCCUGAGCAAAUGGGACUGACAGUAGCAAUGACGGUGGAAGAAAGCCCAAGAACGUCUCCACAGAGGGAUGCCUGGCAACACAAGAGCAGGCCCACAUGGCCAGCAUCUCUGAGGCUUACCUUACCCCAAACAGGCACAGCUGGCCUCUCUGCCCCAUGCAUGACUUGCCACAUCCCUGAAAUACGAAUUGCAUGAAUUUUAUGCUGGAACAAGCUGCAGAGUGAUCAGUCACAUUCGCAGCCCUGUGGACUAUGGCUAUUGGACUGUACAAUUAAAAUUAAGUUUGACAUUAAAUCUAAAACAAAAUUUUUUGAAAAUAAAAAGGCUAGACAUGGUGGCUCACAUCUGUAAUCCCAGCACUUGGGGCAGCUGAGAUGGGAGGGUCACUUGAGCCCAGGAAUUCAAGACUGGGCAACAUAGUGAGACUGUCU